CAUUACCGAGUGUAAAAACUCCCCAACCCAUUGUGAACAUACCCCGCGUUGCCUCGGCGGGCUGCCCCGCGUCUCCCGAGACGCGGGGUCCGCCGGCGGCCCACGAAACCACUGUCACGCCUGGCAUCUCUGAACGCAAGCGAAAUCAGUUAAAACUUUCAACAACGGAUCUCUUGGUUCUGGCAUCGAUGAAGAACGCAGCGAAAUGCGAUAAGUAAUGUGAAUUGCAGAAUUCAGUGAACCAUCGAAUCUUUGAACGCACAUUGCGCCCGCCAGUAUUCUGGCGGGCAUGCCUGUUCGAGCGUCAUUUCAACCCUUGGGCCCCUGCCGCCCAGCGUUGGGAGGCCGCGCCUCACCGCGCGCCUCCCCAAAUUCAGUGGCGGGGCCGGCNNGCGCUCCAGACGUAGUAGAUCUCUAUCUCGCCUGCAGCGCCCGCCGGCNUCCCGCCGUAAAACACCCCACGUCUAAAGGUUGACCUCGGAUCAGGUAGGAAUACCCGCUGAACUUAAGCAUAUCAAUAAGCGGAGGAAAAGAAACCAACAGGGAUUGCCCCAGUAACGGCGAGUGAAGCGGCAACAGCUCAAAUUUGAAAUCUGGCCCUCGGGUCCGAGUUGUAAUUUGUAGAGGAUGCUUCUGGCGCGGUGCCUUCCGAGUUCCCUGGAACGGGACGCCUUAGAGGGUGAGAGCCCCGUACGGU
This 697-nucleotide ribosomal RNA is filed under the name fungal endophyte. RNAcentral's name for it is "eukaryotic LSU rRNA". The stretch from base 473 to 697 matches the Rfam family "Eukaryotic large subunit ribosomal RNA", at positions 1 to 229 of the family's 3401-position model. Lineage: Eukaryota; Fungi. The record is from RNAcentral.